AAUAUCUAGGAGAAAAAACAGCAGCACAGAUCUGAGAAAUAAAUGGUAUCUGACAGGUAUAUAAUGCAACAGUGCAGUGAGAAAUCGGUUACUUGACUUCUUGUAACUGCUAUUUCUGGAAUAGCAAAGUCUACUACACUUCUUUUAACAGAAAAGACAACCAAAUUUGUAUAUUAUGUAUUACAAAUCUGAACAAGAAGAAGUCAUUGGUGAAGAGAUUAUGCUGCUCCACUAGUAGAAUAUCAUAGAAUCAUUACGGUUGGAAAAGACCUCCAAGAUCAUCUGGUUGAACCAUCCAUCUGAUCUGAAACAUAUUUCAGACUAGGGGAUAAGAAGUAACUUAAUGGCACACUAGAAAAGACUUCUCUUGACUGGACAGAAAACUCAAGGUACCUCUUACUUUAAAACAGUGUUAGCAAUUGGCUAUGUUUCAUUUUUACCAUUUGUCCCCAAUAAUCCUCUUUUUUUUUUUUCGUCAUUUUUUAAUGACAAAAGACAUGCUGUGCCAAAUUACAAUCAACAUAUGAGCAUGAGAAACCAAGAUAGCACUCCAAUAGUUUGGACUGUAUAUUACUUUUUUUUUUUUUUAGGUGGGAUGAAACAUUUGAUGUUAAUCUUUUUGACAGAAGGCUUCAAAAUUCUUUGCAAGUCACAAGACAACUGUCACCUGUUUGCAAAAUACCUUUUAAGGAACCAUCCAAGAAUUGUACAAAAUGGUCAAAGUGGAACAACACUUGUGAAAAAAAUCAGAUGUAGUCAAGACUCACACAGAACUUGAAGUGACCAUAAAUUUUGGUGUUUGACAGAUUAACUGAUAUGACUAUCCAAAGGUCCUCGUGUAGUCCUUCUUAUAAGCUGCCUAUAUGGACUAGUCUAUAAAGUAUUUCUGCUAGAAACAUGAGGAAUAUGUGACUGCAACAUACUUUUCUUACUACAGCCUGCAUACAGAAUGUUCUUUAAAUGAGCACAGAAUGUGCUUCAGAAUGAAAGAUUCUCAGUGAAAGCUAGUAGUUAAAAUUAAUAUCCACUUGAUGUGAAAAUGGAACAAACAUCAGAAG
This is a non-coding RNA of Anas platyrhynchos (mallard), 1058 nucleotides long. NCBI's taxonomy places the organism in Eukaryota, Metazoa, Chordata, Aves, Anseriformes, Anatidae. The record is from RefSeq and is a predicted model, not a curated record.